UACGUAGGGUGCGAGCGUUAAUCGGAAUUACUGGGCGUAAAGCGUGCGCAGGCGGUGAUGUAAGACAGAUGUGAAAUCCCCGGGCUCAACCUGGGAACUGCAUUUGUGACUGCAUCGCUGGAGUGCGGCAGAGGGGGAUGGAAUUCCACGUGUAGCGGUGAAAUGCGUAGAGAUGUGGAGGAACACCAGUGGCGAAGGCGGCUUUUUGGUCUGUAACUGACGCUGAGGCGCGAAAGCGUGGGGAGCAAACAGG
This 253-nucleotide ribosomal RNA is filed under the name uncultured prokaryote. RNAcentral describes it as "partial 16S ribosomal RNA". It matches the Rfam family "Bacterial small subunit ribosomal RNA", at positions 524 to 776 of the family's 1533-position model. The record is from RNAcentral.